GUUUUGGUUCCUUCCCCCGAAGGGAGCUGCGGUCCGCCCGCACGCCGCGGCCGUGCCCCGCGGGGACGGGGGCGGCUCGGGGCUCCCCGCCCCGCCGGGCGGAGCGCCCAGCUGGCCGGCUGCGAGCUGCCGGAGAACGGGGGGUGGUGCUUGUGGUGAUGGGGAAUAACUCGCUCUGGAAAUGCGGAAUGUGAAAUUUCCCGUUACUUGACACCAGGCCGUGGGGACCGGGGGAAGUUACCUCUCCCCAGGGCUGUCCUCUGGCAAGCGCACAAAGGUGCCCGCGUCGCCUCCCAGCUGGGGACCGCGCUACCGCGCUGCAAUUACCCCGCGCAGGAUUUCCUAUUCACAGACACUGAAUUAAUCCUUAUUCAAGGGCAGAUUUUUUUUUUCUUUACAGUUUUGUUUGCGCGGCCGCAUUUUUUUUCAUUAGCAACAAAGUUUUCUUCCCUUGCCUUUUUUUUUUUUUUCCCUCCUCGCCCAUCAGUUUUAUCAUCCAUUAAAAUAAAACGCAGUGGGGUGGUUGGGGUGGUGGUUUUUUUCUUGGCCUUUUUUUUUUUUCCUCCUCUUCUAAGCGUCAACUAUCGUUCAGCACAUUCAUUUAAUCAUCCCGACUAAUUUUCUUCACGGAAACAGACAUGAUUUAUUUAAAAACGGGACUAACAGCGUGCGAAACUUCCCCGCUCGGGCAGAGCCCGCGGCCACGCCGGUUGUAGCUAAGGUCAGAAUGACUACCCUGAGCCAGUUCUGCUGGCCGUGGCCUAGCAGAUGCUUGGAAGAUGGCAAGUGUGUGAUGAGUACUCCUUGGGAAGAUCUCUUUGUUCCAGGGACACUAGGAGACCCUGAACCACAUGCUGCAGCUGGAAUAUUUUACAGGGAAACCUACAAGGAUGAUCUAAUUCAGAGAAGACUGCAGGUUAGGACAGCACUUGGAAAGUACCCCAGGAACAGAGCCACUUCAUGAAGCUUGGAUCUGUACUGCUGUCCCAGGAAGGUCUGGAGCUUCCGAAUUUGAAGAAACAGUAAAAUGGCAGAAGUCCAUACUAGGAAAAAAGCUGUUCCGAAUAGCAUGAUAACCCUGUCAGGAAAAAGAAGAAAAAGUCCUGCCUGAUCUAAAGCUGUGGAAAACCUUGAACUCAAAAGGAAAGGCCCACUGGCAGUUUCAGAGAAACAAGAGGAUAAAUGUGCAACUGACCUCCCAUCCACACAAUGACACCUUAGAGGGUCUAAAAGUUCCAGUCGAAUCCACAAACAUUCAGGCUCAUCUUGAAAUACACAUAUUUUGGAACCCCACACUUUUCCCAGGUGAAUUGUGUAAGUCAUUAACUGGCCAGCUCAGGGCCUGAUUGUAAGAUUUGCACCACCUGUGUGCUGGAAAGAAGCUGCACAAUGUAAAAAGACCUCAAACUGCACAGCCUGAAGCAACAGCAGCUUUAUACCCGUUUGACAGAAUGAGGGUUUGAUUUCUCUGAAGUUGCAAAGACUUUGGCCAGAGACAGGAGCCUUCACUUACUAUUGUGCAGCGUCGUGUCCGUGAACUUCCAGAGUUUGCAUUAAAAAGUGACAGAACAUCAGAGUGCCAGAAGCUUCUCAUAUUGUGGCUCUGAAGGAGAAAGAUACUGAAGACAGACAGGAGCUGAAGAAACAUGCAGCAUCCUGGGCACACCUCCCGCAGCGGGAAGAACUUGGGCAAAAAGGUAUGAACACCAUUCUGCUUUUUCCUUAUGGCAAUAUCAAACUACUGAGAGCAGUAGGGAUAUUAGAAUUUAUAGCCAUAUUUGAAAUCAGUUUAUACCCUGCUUGUAUUGCUUUGGUCAGAUUAGAUAUUUAAUAAUGCAGGAUUAUUUUUUUUCCGUUCCUCAUGCAUUUUCCGCAUUUUCCUUGGGCUUUUCCUGUAGAUCAGCAUAGAUCUGUGAUAGCUCUGCUGGGGUAAAACUCAGUCGUGCUGCACCGGUUUGGUUACUGAAGGGAGCCAACAGCUCAGCAGCGUGGUUGGGUUCUUUCAAACAGUCGUUUGGCAGAAGGAUGUUUAAAAAUAAUUGUGCAUCCCCUCCCUGUCUUUAAAUAUUCAGAGGAAAAGUCGCAGAAGAACCGAUAAUGUGACAAUAAUAAUGAGGCUGAAGAACAGUAUUAUAGUGUGAACUCAUAUAUCCCCUGGUUUCAUUUACAUGUUUAGCAGCUGCUUGUUUCUCCAUCAUACAAAGAUCAUUACCUGCCUUGUAAGAAGAGAGGGGAAGUCUGUUCACCUUUGGGCAACUAGCUCUGCAUUUAUUAAUAGUUUGGGCCCAUCUCAUUAUACAUUUAAUUGCUGCAUUAUAAUUUAUUUAUUCACUGAUUUAUUGUAAUAGAGGAGUAGAAACCAAAUUACCUUUGCAGAUUACUUUGAUAGGUGGGAAAUUUGCAUGGUUAAAAAGAAACGCAACAUGCAGCGUGGAAUGGGAGCUGCUACCUAGUGAAGAGCAGCUCGACGUGUGAGCACUGGCACAGACAAGCUUGUCUCGUUAGACGGUGAGGGUGAAUCCAGCCAAUUUAUAGACGGUUUAAAAAGAAAUUACUAUGUAGCUUCCAAUUAUCCUUACAAUCUCAGAUGGCUUCAUGGAACAGGGAAACAACUGAAAAUGAAAGAUAAAUAGGAUGGGAAGAGAAGACUCCUCAAAAAUCAGAAACCUAAAGGUGGGAAGUUUGCAGAGAGUUUGGUUAAGCAAGAGCUGCCUUUCUGUUAGCGUGGGUGUCAGGCUUAGAAAAGCUGGAUUUCUGUGGCCUCUGCUGUUCCCAUCUGCAGAGCUGGGCUGAACCGAGCAGCAAAAUUCCAGGGCACCUAUGGCCAUAUUCCACCCCUACCCCCUGCAAAGUACUUGGUUGCCUAAACCAGGGCUCAAGUGGACAUCAGGGAAAGGGGCAGGGGGAUGGAGCACGAGUGUGUGGUGGGCUCCUGGUGGCACAGUGCAUGUCACCAUCCCAAGCAGAGCACAAAAGGAGGGCCCAGCCUUGACAGGGCUGUUGCAGCAUCAAACCAGGGGACGGGGAGGUCUGUGGCUGAAGGGUCAUCAUUCGGGGAGCAUCAUCAGUAACAAACAAAUGGGGCCACAGGGAGCCAGACAGAAAAUACACACGCAAAAUCAUUGCAGUUUUCAGUUAGUAAUGCACAUAUAGAACCUCCACGUUUUUCUUCAAUUAGUUUAAUUGGUAGAAUUGAUUAAUAAAUAAUGAUAUCCACUAUCAGAUUUCUGUAUACAGAAAGGUCAGUCGGCUGCAAAACUUGACCAUUAAGGCCAUAGAAUGCAGGCUGGUUUGUUUAUUUGUUUGUUUUUUAGAUUUUCUCUCCUUUUUUUGGUAGAUGUUUUUAUUGCACUCCUUUCUCAGUUAUACCAAGGCAUCAAAUGUAUUUGUCACCGCUCAUGAGUACCUGUCACGCUGGCUGUGUCCCCUUUCCCUUCACGGCCUCACGUGGUUCAGCAUCCCUGAUCCUGCCCGUGGGGCAUCGACACCAGCAGCCGGGUUGUGCUGGGGUUCAGUAAUUGCCCUUUUUUUCCUGCGUUUCACCCAGCUGGGCCUUUCCAUAGUUGCUUUAUGUGGCACAGACGUAUGCCAGGCAGCAGCUCCCUGCUGUGGGUAUCAGGAGCCCCAUGUGCCCCACACUGUCACUCUGAGCCAUGGGACACUCAGAGACAGCAGCUGCGGGACAUCCCCACACACCCCCUGCCCACCCUGGCUUCCUCCUGCCCCAAACCCUCUGCAUUCUUACAGCAGCUCAUGCAGGGUUGUCCAAGGAUCCCGUUUCACAGCUGCCAGCAGCGAAGCUCUGAGCCUAAAAGAAAACAUCAGGCUUACAGAGGCUGCAGCCACAGUGCUGGGUUUGGUAGCCGUGGCUGGACCUGCUCCUCAUGAAGUGACUGAAAAUUUUGACUCACACGAUGCUUUUUUCUUUGACGUUUCGUUUUAGCAUGAGAGCUUUUGGGUUGAAAAAUUACUACCGCAUUCAAGUUGUUUACAGUUUUCAUUAGCUUCCCCUAUGCUCUACAAAUGCCCCAAGAUCUCGCAGGUAUUUUACAUCUCCCAGUAGGUGAGGGGACACUCAGAGGUGUCAUUUGGAUCCAGGUUUCCAUUCUCGGUGCUUUGCCCUGCACAGGGGCAGCGUUGGGGCAGUUUUGGGCAGGGAGCGUGGACACGGACUUGGACACGGAUACGGGUUCCAGUGCAGAACUUGGUCCAUCACUGGCCGUGGCCAUUGGGGAAUCCCAGACAGAUGCUGCCAGCCAGAGCCUGUGCGAUACACUGGGGAUGUGUUUGAAACUUACAAACCUGUGAAAGCUUUCUGUGUAGCCCAGUUACGUUAGCCCAAAAGAAGUUUUAAGAGCAGCACUAUAAAAAUGGGAUUGCAAUAACUGUGUGGGCACAUCGGAAUAUAAAUCUUGGUUUUAAAGAGCCGGGGGUUAGAACAGGGAGCAGGUUCGCAGGCGGCACGGGCACUGCCCUCUUGUGCCCCGCUCCUGCAGUGCAGCGGAGCGGCAGCCGGAUCCACGCUGGUGCUGCUGCCGCAGAAACGUGGAGUGAGACCUGAGCACCUUCCCGUAGGGUCCACAGCUUUAGCUUUUAAAAAGUCAAGUAUUAAUCUUAUUGCAAAUUAUUAAGAAACCAAGAAAAAAAACCCCAACAUUUUACACCGCAGAAGUCGGUAACACAGUUCCUGAAAAUAUCUUGUGGAAGUAGUUUUACAAAUGUUUUAAGUAUUUGCAAUCAGAGAAAGAUUUUAACAAUACUUAAAUUGAUCACAUGCCUUUUAUAGGGAGGAAGACCCAGGUAGGACUUUUAAAUUGUUGUUGUUAUUAUUAUAAUACUCAGGAAAUUUAAAAGAUUAAACCUAUCUGUAUUCUCCUAGCACGAUGGUUGCACAUGUGUGCAGGUCUGCCUGUGGAAGCAGCACACUCCCAGAGGAGCUGGUCAUGUAGGGUCAGUAACAUGGUGAUGGAACAACUUAUCCUUGGAGCCAUCUCAAAGCAUAUCAGGGACAAGAGGGUCAUUAGGGGCAGUCAACAGGGCUUCACCAAGGGGAAGUUGUGCUUGACCAACCUCAUUUGACUUUUAUGAGGACAUAACAAGGUGGAUGGAUGAUGGCAGAUCGGUGGACGUGAUCUACCUUGACUUGAGUAAGGCAUUUGACACAGUCUCCUACAGCAUCCUCGCAGCUAAACUGAGGGAGUGCGGUCUGGAUGACCAGGUAGUGAGGUGGACUGCGAACUGGCUGAAGGGAACAAGCCAGAGAGUCGUGGUCAAUGGGGCAGAGUCCAGUUGAGGCCUGUAUCCAGUGCAGUGCCUCAGGGGGCAGUGCUGGGACCAGGACUAUUCAAUAUAUUCAUCAAUGAUUUGGACGAGGGAACAGAGUGACUGUCAGCAGGUUUGCUGAUGACACCAAGCUGGGAGGAGUGGUGACACUGGAAGCUGUGCUGCCAUCAGAGACCUGGACAGGCUGGAGAGCUGGGCGGGGAGAAAUUUAAUGAAAUAGAACAAGGGCAAGUGUAGAGUCUUGAAUCUGGGCAGGAACAGCCCCAGGUUCCAGUGUAAGUUGGGAACGACCUGUUAGAGAGCAGUGUAGGGGAAAGGGACCUGGGGGUCCUGGGGACAGCAGGGUGACCAUGAGCCAGCACUGGGCCCUUGUGGCCAGGAAGCCAAUGGUACCUGGGGUGGGUUAGAAGGGGGUGGUCAGUAGGUCAGAGAGGUUCUCCUGCCCCUCUGCUCUGCCCUGGGGAGACCACACCUGGAAUAUUGUGUCCAGUUGUGGCCCCUCAGUUCCAGCAGGACAGGGAGCUGCUGGAGAGAGUCCAGCGCAGCCACCAAGAUGCUGAAGGGAGUGGAGCAUCUCCCGUGUGAGGAAAGGCUGAGGGAGCUGGGGCUCUGGAGCUGGACAAGAGGAGACUGAGGGGGGACUCAUUCCUGGGGAUCAGUAUGGAAAGGGGCAGUGUCAGGAGGAUGGAGCCAGGCUCUUCUGGUGACAACCAGUGACAGGACAAGGGGCAAUGGGUGCAAACUGGAACACAGGAGGGUCCACUGAAAGGUAAGAAGCAACUUGUUGGGGGUGAGGGUGGCAGAGCCUGGCCCAGGCUGCCCAGGGAGGUUGUGGAGUCUCCUUCUCUGCAGACAUUCCAACCCGCCUGGACACCUUCCUGUGUAACCUCAUCUGGGUGUUCCUGCUCCAUGGGGGGAUUGCACUGGAUGAGCUUUCCAGGGCCCUUCCAACCCCUGACACUCUGGGAUUCUGUGAUAUGGUGUACUAAGCAUUCAAAAAUAAAUUCAUUUUUCCCUGCAGGCAAACUACAGUUGGCUUCUGCAGCUUUUCAUUGGUUUUCCAUUAUAGUAUCAGGUACUCACUGGUAGGUAAGUCAUAAGUAGUAUACUUAGUCCUGACUUAGUACAGUAAUUUCAGCAUUUCUAGAAAACUCAAGAAUUAGGAGAGACUAUCACCAAGCUGACAAUGAAAUCAAUAGAGCCAUAACAUUUUAAGUUUAAUAUUCAUACAGAAGGAGCACAUGGUACAUUCCUUUCCAGCAGCAGCUGAUUCUGCUCCACCUUUGGGGAAAGAAGCAAGCAAAGGCUGGUUGGGGCAGCCUCAUCCCAAGGUUUGUUUCCCUGACAUGUCCCUGGUAAGAUGGAGACUAUUUUGCACAAAACAUGGAAUGUUUAUUUAGCAAAACAGCAACAACAGAAAAACAUGCGUUGUUACAGUGUUAGAAACACACAGAGCGUUCAAGCUGCUUUUUACACCAACUCAGUUCUAAAACCAUCAAAUUCCAGUUUGCAGCAGGUUGUGCCUUGGUAUUGUAUAGAACAGGCAUCACUGGGGUGGUGCUGAGCACGUCCAGCUACUGGGGAGGGUAAAGUGCACAAGAAAAGUAAGUGCAUUAAACGAA
Long non-coding RNA from Columba livia (rock pigeon), 6905 nucleotides. RefSeq lists it as uncharacterized. The record is from RefSeq and is a predicted model, not a curated record. NCBI's taxonomy places the organism in Eukaryota, Metazoa, Chordata, Aves, Columbiformes, Columbidae. The transcript has 8 exons.